GUGAUAAUGUACGUACAUUCCGAAUUUCACCUUCAGGCUUGGAUGGUCUUGGUGGCCCUGAUAACUGUGGAACUGGCUGUUUUUUCAAUCGUCGUGCUCUUUAUGGUAGCCCAUCAUCAGUUACAUCACUAGAACACUCUAGAGAUAGCCAUACUCGAAGUAUGGCUAUCUCCAGUGUGUCAGUCGUUGAGCUGGCUAGUCAUGCUGCUAGUUGCAACUACGAGUACAACAACACCGAGUGGGG
This 244-nucleotide unclassified non-coding RNA is filed under the name Hevea brasiliensis (rubber tree). The record is from RNAcentral. Lineage: Eukaryota; Viridiplantae; Streptophyta; Magnoliopsida; Malpighiales; Euphorbiaceae.